Elaeis guineensis (African oil palm) is the source of this 1674-nucleotide RNA transcript. RefSeq lists it as uncharacterized. Lineage: Eukaryota; Viridiplantae; Streptophyta; Magnoliopsida; Arecales; Arecaceae. The record is from RefSeq and is a predicted model, not a curated record.
GACCGCACACCGGCCCUCUUUUUAAUAGGGGAGGCUUCGCUGCUGGCUAGACGUGCGAACUCUCGGGGGAAAAGAUGGAAAAGAGAAAAAAAUCCGCAACCAUUUUUCCCAUUCGGAGAUUGGAUUUGAGAUUUUAUUUUAUUUUUCCCCUCUAGGAUCCGUCGGCGUGCGAAUGGAGAAGAUGGGAGCCACCGAAUCGCAGCUUGAGGACCUCUUCGAUCAGAAGAAGCCCGUCAAGAACCCUCUCGUUCCCAGCGAAAAUUCAAGCUAGCUACUACCGUUCAUGCUGCUAAUGCUUCUUCAAAUGAUCAAUCAUCACAAGCUGUGUUUCAUUCUAUGCAAAGUCAAAAUCAAAAAGAGGGCAAGGAACCAAUGAACAAGGUUGACAAAGUUAAAUUUUCAUCUCAAAAGCCUACUUAUGUGGUAACAUAUAUUAAGGUUCUUGCAUCAUGUUCCCCAGCUCUUGAAACCUGCACAAUUGCAAGAUCCAAGUGUGCUUAUGAAUUCAUUAAUCAUGAUGUUCCAUCACGUGGAUGCAUGCAAGUCAAGAAAAUAUAUCUAAGAUUGAUUAGGAGGAUUUAGGCUUUAUUCCUUCGAAACUUUUGACAGAAGAGGGAGAGUCUUUCAAAAAAUGGUCUUGCUUUCUUUUCACUUUUCCAAAGGUUAUGAAGAUCUCUCUUUGCAAAAGUUGAAUAAAAGAGAGGCGCAGGAAGGAAAAGAUUGAGUAUGGGACAACAGAAGACAUUUAUAGGCUUACACUGUCAAGUUCUUAACAAGGCUUUGAACUUGAGGAUGUGUUCCAUGCAGUGGAAGUGUUUGAUGCAAGAGCACUGGAUCAACCCAUUUUCGAGUAGGUGUGCUUCUUACCACUGGUGUGCUCACCAUGGGCUGAUCAGCUUCAGACAAGGAAAUUCUUAGCUGGGUCAGAAGCUAAUGAGGGCUCGUGUUGUAUUUCAGGGUGCAACGGUUGCUCUCAUGGCUGGCAGUGCUUGCUUCUUUGGAGAACAAUUUAAGGGUUCUAAAAAAUGAAGUUGCAUUGUAUAAAAAUGGAUGCUUACCUUUAUGUCUAAAUGAGAUCAUCUUAUGGAGCACCCGUGUUAGCAGGGCAUGCUGCUGCUGCUGGUGACUAGAUUCCGAGAAUUACAAGUAUAUUUGGAUGCGCUCACUCUCUCUCUCUCUCUCGUUUUGGCAUUUAGAGAAAAUAGUGAAUUCAUAUUUUGUCAAAAAAUUUCAUCAAUUUUUUUAUGCAUGUUUUAAUAAUAAUUGAUUGCAUUAAAUGGUUCUCAGUUCUUGACUUUUGGCAUGCGGUGCCCAACAAUUUCCACCACACUAUUUGAGGUGUUCCACAAUAACAACUAGCAGGCCAUGUGAUAUAUCUUCUUGGCUGUGCAAAAUCUUUGAGGUGUGAUAAAACUCACUGCCAUCAUUGUCGACAUUUUCGGCUACAAUAUGUUCGGUUAGGCCAUGGUAUCGUGACAACUCAUUGUCCUUUGAAGUUUGAAGGGUCUAAAAUAAUAGAUAAUGACAUCCAGCCCUUUUGUUCAUCAAGUAUGCAUAUGUGAAAAAAAAAUCAUCAAGGUCAAAAGGGAGAAAACCAUGUUGUUCAGACUAAUCAUGUUGUUCUUUGUUACAGAUAAAAUCAUUAGAGGUAGAACAUGUAGUCAGGGUCCUCUA